UACGUAGGGUGCGAGCGUUAAUCGGAAUUACUGGGCGUAAAGAGUGCGCAGGCGGAUAUGUAAGUUAGAUGUGAAAUACCCGGGCUCAACCUGGGAAUGGCAUUUAAAACUGCGUAUCUAGAGUUUGUCAGAGGGGGGUAGAAUUCCAAGUGUAGCAGUGAAAUGCGUAGAGAUUUGGAGGAAUACCGGUGGCGAAGGCGGCCCCCUGGGAUAGAACUGACGCUCAGGCACGAAAGCGUGGGUAGCAAACAGGAUUAGAUACCCUGGUAGUCCACGCCCUAAACGAUGUCUACUUGCUGUUGGGGGUAGAACCUUAGUAGCGAAGCUAACGCGAGAAGUAGACCGCCUGGGGAGUACGGUCGCAAGAUUA
RNAcentral lists this ribosomal RNA (370 nucleotides) under uncultured prokaryote. Its description in RNAcentral is "bacterial SSU rRNA". It matches the Rfam family "Bacterial small subunit ribosomal RNA", at positions 524 to 896 of the family's 1533-position model. The record is from RNAcentral.